Molecule: ribosomal RNA, 460 nt
Filed under: uncultured bacterium
Lineage: Bacteria
Description: partial 16S ribosomal RNA
Rfam family: Bacterial small subunit ribosomal RNA
Source: RNAcentral
CCUACGUGAGGCAGCAGUGAGGAAUAUUGGUCAAUGGGCGAGAGCCUGAACCCGCCAAGUCGCGUGAAGGAUGAAGGAUCUAUGGUUUGUAAACUUCUUUUAUAUGGGUAUAAAGUGAGGAACGUGUUCCUUUUUGUAUGUACCAUAUGAAUAAGCAUCGGCUAACUCCGUGCCAGCAGCCGCGGUACUACGGAGGAUGCGAGCGUUAUCCGGAUUUAUUGGGUUUAAAGGGUGCGUAGUUGGUUAAUUAAGUCAGCGGUGAAAGUUUGGGGCUCAACCAUAAAAUUGCCGUUGAAACUGGUUGAGUUGAGUAUAUGUGAGGUAGGCGGAAUGCGUGGUGUAGCGGUGAAAUGCAUAGAUAUCACGCAGAACUCCGAUUGGGAAGGCAGCUUACUAAACUAUAACUGACACUGAAGCACGAAGGCGUGGGGAUCAAACAGGAGUAGAUACCCGGGUAGUC